RNAcentral lists this ribosomal RNA (316 nucleotides) under uncultured euryarchaeote. Its description in RNAcentral is "bacterial SSU rRNA". It matches the Rfam family "Archaeal small subunit ribosomal RNA", at positions 567 to 871 of the family's 1478-position model. Lineage: Archaea; Methanobacteriati; Methanobacteriota. The record is from RNAcentral.
UUGAUAUUCUGCGAGCACGGCCAGACUUGGGACCGGGAGAGGUGUGGGGUACUCUCAGGGUAGGGAUAAAAUCCUGUCAUCCUGAGAGGACCACCUUGUUGCGAAGGCUGCCACAUCUAGAACUGGAUCCGACGUGUCAGGGACGUAAACCGUAGGGGCAGCGAACCUGGAUUAGAUACCCGGGGUAGUCCUAAGGUGUAAACGCUGUGGACUUGAUGUUGGGGGCGCUCCGAGCGCUCUCAGUGUCGAAGCGAAGGUGAUAAGUCCACUGCCUGGGGAGUACGGUCGCAAGGCUGAAACUCAAAUGAAUUGACGG